Molecule: ribosomal RNA, 1364 nt
Filed under: Weissella koreensis
Lineage: Bacteria; Bacillati; Bacillota; Bacilli; Lactobacillales; Lactobacillaceae
Description: 16S ribosomal RNA
Rfam family: Bacterial small subunit ribosomal RNA
Source: RNAcentral
AUGAGUGGCGAACGGGUGAGUAACACGUGGGAAACCUACCUCUUAGCAGGGGAUAACAUUUGGAAACAAAUGCUAAUACCGUAUAAUAAUUAAAACCGCAUGGUUUUAGUUUAAAAGAUGGUCUUGCUAUCACUAAGAGAUGGUCCCGCGGUGUAUUAGUUAGUUGGUGAGGUAAUGGCUCACCAAGACAAUGAUACAUAGCCGAGUUGAGAGACUGACCGGCCACAAUGGGACUGAGACACGGCCCAUACUCCUACGGGAGGCAGCAGUAGGGAAUCUUCCACAAUGGACGAAAGUCUGAUGGAGCAACGCCGCGUGUGUGAUGAAGGGUUUCGGCUCGUAAAACACUGUUGUAAGAGAAGAAUGACAUUGAGAGUAACUGUUCAAUGUGUGACGGUAUCUUACCAGAAAGGAACGGCUAAAUACGUGCCAGCAGCCGCGGUAAUACGUAUGUUCCAAGCGUUAUCCGGAUUUAUUGGGCGUAAAGCGAGCGCAGACGGUUAUUUAAGUCUGAAGUGAAAGCCCUCGGCUCAACCGAGGAAUUGCUUUGGAAACUGGAUAACUUGAGUGCAGUAGAGGAAAGUGGAACUCCAUGUGUAGCGGUGAAAUGCGUAGAUAUAUGGAAGAACACCAGUGGCGAAGGCGGCUUUCUGGACUGUAACUGACGUUGAGGCUCGAAAGUGUGGGUAGCAAACAGGAUUAGAUACCCUGGUAGUCCACACUGUAAACGAUGAGUGCUAGUUGUUCGAGGGUUUCCGCCCUUGAGUGACGAAGCUAACGCAUUAAGCACUCCGCCUGGGGAGUACGACCGCAAGGUUGAAACUCAAAGGAAUUGACGGGGACCCGCACAAGCGGUGGAGCAUGUGGUUUAAUUCGAAGCAACGCGAAGAACCUUACCAGGUCUUGACAUCCUUUGACCACUCCAGAGAUGGAGCUUUCCCUUCGGGGACAAAGUGACAGGUGGUGCAUGGUUGUCGUCAGCUCGUGUCGUGAGAUGUUGGGUUAAGUCCCGCAACGAGCGCAACCCUUUAUUGUUAGUUGCCAGCAUUUAGUUGGGCACUCUAGCAAGACUGCCGGUGACAAACCGGAGGAAGGCGGGGAUGACGUCAAAUCAUCAUGCCCCUUAUGACCUGGGCUACACACGUGCUACAAUGGCAAGUACAACGAGUCGCCAACCCGCGAGGGUGCGCAAAUCUCUUAAAGCUUGUCUCAGUUCGGACUGUAGGCUGCAACUCGCCUACACGAAGUCGGAAUCGCUAGUAAUCGCGGAUCAGCACGCCGCGGUGAAUACGUUCCCGGGUCUUGUACACACCGCCCGUCACACCAUGAGAGUUUGUAACACCCAAAGUCGGUGAGGUAACCUU